Molecule: long non-coding RNA, 1171 nt
Filed under: Daphnia pulex (common water flea)
Lineage: Eukaryota; Metazoa; Arthropoda; Branchiopoda; Diplostraca; Daphniidae
Description: uncharacterized LOC124188505, transcript variant X3
Source: RNAcentral
AGACUUUUGCCGCUUUGGCUGAUUGGCUAGCGGAGAUGCCAUAUGAUGCCAUAAUGCGGACGUUUUUAAUUGCAAAACUGAAAAUGGCAAUGCUGCACCUCGCGCGUUACUUUCAAAAUGGCUGCUGGCAUUGGUCGACACGACGAGAAUCGACAACAACUGAUAGAUCCCCACAGUAGUGAUCGUCCUGGUUUGUAAUGUGCCAGUUCAUGUGAAAUCUUGAGCUGAACGCCAAAUAUCAGGCUAGAUGCCUAGAUCUUUCCAAGAUAAGGCAAUGUGAUUUUUCGAAGAAAUUGUGCUUAUCGCGUGCUGUGGUUUGUUGGGUAAUUCAGCAUGCUAAAUGUAAAUGAUUCCUGACUCUAGAUUUUCGGGGUAUUUGGGAAAUGAGAACUACAGAAGCAGAUGUUUGAUAUGGGCCUAUUCACUUCAGCCUGCAUUUACUUAUUCAAAUGUCAACUUUGGGGUAGUCACUAGUCAAUAGGUGUGUAAAAUUGUGUCCACCAGGUGGCGGAGUGUUUGUUCGUGAGUGAGUGAGUGACCGGUGACGAUUCCGGAUUCCGCCAUUUGCUUUUUGAGACAGACGGAAAUGUAAAUGUGUUGCUGACGGUGUUUUUCGCUUUUACUUUGAAAAAACCAUGAGGUAUUUCCACGCCAUUCGACCAAGCUGAAUUGAAAGUGAACAAUUCAAAAGCAACAUGUCGAAGAUCUUCUACCUUACUCCACGUUAUCGCUGCCAUGUCACGAAGAUGCGCUUUUGAGAGGGUCUCUACUAAAUUGCAAGACAAAAAUGUGUUGAAAACACUCAGGAAAUCUGAAAUGUUUGAUGUUUGAGUUGUUUUGGUGUUGCUGUUGUGCAGUGGUUUUGCAGCCCUUUUCCAGUUGAGAGCUGCACUUGAAUGGAGCUUGUGCAGACUUGUAGUUGAACAUCAUACUUAAAUGUGUCAUUUGCCUAUGUUGGUGUCCAUGCAGUGUUGAACAGUUGGAUAAAAUUGUCAAUGUUGCCUGAUGGCUGUUGGGCUUAUUUUAUCGGCUUCGUUUUGUCGAUAUGUCUUCUCUUGCUACCUGUUCCGGCGUUGAGUUCAAUCGUUUGCCGCUUUCCGGCUUCGACUUGAUUCAUUGGUGAAACUGAGGUUGCUGAAAUUCAAGACUCGUCAAUAUAAAUUAUGUAGAU